Molecule: ribosomal RNA, 568 nt
Filed under: uncultured bacterium
Lineage: Bacteria
Description: partial 16S ribosomal RNA
Rfam family: Bacterial small subunit ribosomal RNA
Source: RNAcentral
UGGGGAGUAUUGGACAAUGGGCGCAAGCCUGAUCCAGCAAUGCCGCGUGUGUGAAGAAGGCCUUCGGGUUGUAAAGCACUUUUAUCAGGAGCGAAACGCUGUCGGCUAAUACCCGGCGGAACUGACGGUACCUGAGGAAUAAGCACCGGCUAACUUCGUGCCAGCAGCCGCGGUAAUACGAAGGGUGCAAGCGUUAAUCGGAAUUACUGGGCGUAAAGCGUGCGUAGGCGGUUUCUUAAGUCUGCUGUGAAAUCCCCGGGCUCAACCUGGGAAUGGCAGUGGAUACUGGGAGGCUAGAGUGUGUCAGAGGGUGGUGGAAUUCCCGGUGUAGCGGUGAAAUGCGUAGAGAUCGGGAGGAACAUCAGUGGCGAAGGCGGCCACCUGGGACAACACUGACGCUGAGGCACGAAAGCGUGGGGAGCAAACAGGAUUAGAUACCCUGGUAGUCCACGCCCUAAACGAUGCGAACUGGAUGUUGGUCUCAACUCGGAGAUCAGUGUCGAAGCUAACGCGUUAAGUUCGCCGCCUGGGGAGUACGGUCGCAAGACUGAAACUCAAAGGAAUUGAC